GAUGAAGAACGUAGCGAAAUGCGAUAAGUAAUGUGAAUUGCAGAAUUCAGUGAAUCAUCGAAUCUUUGAACGCACAUUGCGCCCGCCAGUAUUCUGGCGGGCAUGCCUGUUCGAGCGUCAUUACAACCCUCAGGCCCCCGGGCCUGGCGUUGGGGAUCGGCGGAAGCCCCCUGUGGGCACACGCCGUCCCUCAAAAACAGUGGCGGUCCCGCCGCAGCUUCCAUUGCGUAGUAGCUAACACCUCGCAACUGGAGAGCGGCGCGGCCAUGCCGUAAAACACCCAACUUCUGAAUGUUGACCUCGAAUCAGGUAGGAAUACCCGCUGAACUUAAGCAUAUCAAUAAGCGGAGGA
RNAcentral lists this unclassified non-coding RNA (352 nucleotides) under soil metagenome. RNAcentral describes it as "partial contains 5.8S ribosomal RNA, internal transcribed spacer 2, and large subunit ribosomal RNA". The stretch from base 1 to 120 matches the Rfam family "5.8S ribosomal RNA", at positions 35 to 154 of the family's 154-position model. The record is from RNAcentral.